RNAcentral lists this ribosomal RNA (1046 nucleotides) under uncultured bacterium. RNAcentral's name for it is "bacterial SSU rRNA". It matches the Rfam family "Bacterial small subunit ribosomal RNA", at positions 57 to 1104 of the family's 1533-position model. The record is from RNAcentral.
GCAGUCGAGGGAGAAGUUUUGUGCUUGCACAGAACAGAAACCGGCGAACGGGUGCGUAACACGUAUGCAACUUACCUAUAACUGGGGGAUAGCCCGAAGAAAUUCGGAUUAAUACCCUAUAAUAUUUACAUACCGCAUGGUAUGUAUCUUAAAACUCCGGUGGUUAUAGAUGGGCAUGCGGCUUAUUAGUUUGUUGGUGAGGUAACGGCUCACCAAGACUACGAUAAGUAGGGGGUCUGAGAGGAUGAUCCCCCACACUGGUACUGAGACACGGACCAGACUCCUACGGGAGGCAGCAGUAGGGAAUAUUGGACAAUGGACGAAAGUCUGAUCCAGCCAUGCCGCGUGCAGGAUGACGGCCCUAUGGGUUGUAAACUGCUUUUAUAUAGGAAGAAACCUUUCCACGUGUGGAAAGCUGACGGUACUAUACGAAUAAGGACCGGCUAACUCCGUGCCAGCAGCCGCGGUAAUACGGAGGGUCCAAGCGUUGUCCGGAUUUAUUGGGUUUAAAGGGUACGCAGGCGGGACUUUAAGUCAGUGGUGAAAGCCUCCAGCUUAACUGGAGAAUUGCCAUUGAAACUGAAGUUCUUGAGUAUGGAUGAGGUGGUUGGAAUAUAACAUGUAGCGGUGAAAUGCAUAGAUAUGUUAUAGAACACCAAUUGCGAAGGCAGAUCACUAAACCAUUACUGACGCUGAGGUACGAAAGCGUGGGGAGCGAACAGGAUUAGAUACCCUGGUAGUCCACGCCGUAAACGAUGUUCACUCGCUGUUGGCGAUAUAUUGUCAGCGGCCAAGCGAAAGCAUUAAGUGAACCACCUGGGGAGUACGAUCGCAAGGUUGAAACUCAAAGGAAUUGACGGGGGCCCGCACAAGCGGUGGAGCAUGUGGAUUAAUUCGAUGAUACGCGAGGAACCUUACCAGGGCUUAAACGAUAAUUGACCGUCGCCGAAAGGUGUCUUUCUUUUAGACAAGUAUCAAGGUGCUGCAUGGCUGUCGUCAGCUCGUGCCCUGAGGUGUUGGGUUAAGUCCCGCAACGAGCGCAACCC